Molecule: ribosomal RNA, 463 nt
Filed under: uncultured bacterium
Lineage: Bacteria
Description: partial 16S ribosomal RNA
Rfam family: Bacterial small subunit ribosomal RNA
Source: RNAcentral
GACGAACGCUGGCGGCGUGCUUAACACAUGCAAGUCGAACGGAAAGGCCUUUUCGGAGGUACUCGAGUGGCGAACGGGUGAGUAACACGUGGGUGAUCUGCCCUGCACUCUGGGAUAAGCCUGGGAAACUGGGUCUAAUACCGGAUAGGACCGCACUUUUGUGUGUGUGGUGGAAAGUUUUUUCGGUGUAGGAUGAGCCCGCUGCCUAUCAGCUUGUUGGUGGGGUAAUGGGCUACCAAGGCGGCGGCGGGUAGCCGGACUGAGAGGGUGGUCGGCCACAUUGGGAAUGAGAUGCGGCACAGACACGUACGGGGGGGAGCAGUGGGGAAUAGUGCACAAUGGGCGCAAGCCUGAUGCAGCGACGCCGCGUGGGGGAGGACGGCCUUCGGGUUGGAAAAUACUUUCGACAGGGACGAAGCGUUUUGUGACGGUACCUGGAGAAGAAGCACCGGCUAACUACGUG